UGGAAAAAAUGAGGCGAGAAGAGACGGAUUUGCAAAAGCAGGCCAGGGUUUCUGUAUCCUCCUCUGCUGCAAGCGGUCAGAUCUAGUUUUCCUUUCCCGCAUCGAAGGCUCGCCAGCAUUUUAAGAAGGGCCUUAAUGACCCCACGCACUCCGUGGCUCCCUGGCAUUCUUCGUGCACUUACAUCUGUGGCUAAUGCGUUUUCUUCGCAGGAAGGGAAGAAAAUGAGAUAGCAGUAACAACUGGCAACCAUAUGUUCAUCUGAUGUAUUUGCAAAUAUUUAAGUUCUAGGCUUCCUCAGGAAAUCUGGAAAGUAUUGGCACUGAUUAGGAAAGCCUUUUUUAUUAUAAUACAUCCAUCACUGUAUGGGAAAGCAGGAAAGGAUCUGCCAAUGAAACGAAAUAGUUUUCUGGAAAUAAAUAACAUCUACAGACAAUUGAAACUAUUGACUAUAGAAUGACGCAGUUGUUUCAAGGUGACCAUAUCAGAGGAUGUCAGCCAGGAACAUGGAGUGGGUCCUAUGUGUCAACAGAAUUUCCUGGAUGUAGUAAGAAACUAAAAAGAGAUUCACCCAGGCUGGAGGAGAGAUUUAUCUAUGGAUUUCAAAGCAGUAGAGACCAGGGCCUUACUUUAUGGCUAUGUCUAGGAGGACUGGACAGAGUUCCUAUUUGGAGAAGAUUCCUGUUUUUCCCCAAGAGCCAUAUGGAGCAGAAGAAAAUAGCUCCGCUGAAGUCCAUGAGAUACAGCAGAGUUUGCCAACACUAUUGGUUCCAUAGGUAAUCUGGAAUGGAGGCAUGGAGGUGGAAGUUCUGGACUCUUCUUCUCAAUGUCUAGCUAACCUGGUCAGAGGCUUGCCAGAAGGGGCCCCGAUAAAAGGAAGCUACACCCAAGAUAUGAGACAAGAAUAUGGGACAGUUAGCUUUGAUCUCUGAAUGUGUUGUGUAUUGGUUUCAGUGCCCAUCUCAUAGAAAUAAAAUACUGCUUUAUUCUGCAU
This 992-nucleotide long non-coding RNA is filed under the name Homo sapiens (human). Its description in RNAcentral is "HSALNT0075486". Lineage: Eukaryota; Metazoa; Chordata; Mammalia; Primates; Hominidae. The record is from RNAcentral.